This 77-nucleotide transfer RNA is filed under the name Nitrospinaceae bacterium. RNAcentral's name for it is "tRNA-Arg". It matches the Rfam family "tRNA". From Rfam's summary of the family: Transfer RNA (tRNA) molecules are approximately 80 nucleotides in length. Their secondary structure includes four short double-helical elements and three loops (D, anti-codon, and T loops). Lineage: Bacteria; Pseudomonadati; Nitrospinota; Nitrospinia; Nitrospinales; Nitrospinaceae. The record is from RNAcentral.
GCUCCGAUAGCUCAGCUGGAUAGAGCAUCGGCCUUCUAAGCCGAGGGUCGCAGGUUCGAACCCUGCUCGGAGUACCA